This 754-nucleotide long non-coding RNA is filed under the name Homo sapiens (human). RNAcentral's name for it is "HSALNT0038579". The record is from RNAcentral. Lineage: Eukaryota; Metazoa; Chordata; Mammalia; Primates; Hominidae.
CUCGUGGUGCACCGUUUUUUUAAGCCCGUCGGAAACGCGCAGUAUUCGGGUGGGAGUGACCCGAUUUUCCAGGUGCCGUCCGUCACCCGUUUCUUUGACUCAGACAGGGAACUCCCUGACCCCUUGCGCUUCCCAAGUGAGGCAAUGCCUCGCCCUGCUUGGGCUCGCGCAUGGUGCGCUCACCCACUGACCUGCACCCACUGUCUGGCACUCCCUAGUGAGAUGAACCCGGUACCUCAGAUGGAAAUGCUGAAAUCACCCGUCUUCUUCGUUGCUCACGCUGGGAGCUGUAGACAGGAGCUGUUCAUAUUCGGCCAUCUUGGCUCCUCCCCGCACCAAUAGGUGACGGAAGGUGAGGAGAGAGCACUGAGACCAAGCAAAUGGAGGCACUCAGGGAAUGAGAGGCUAAAGAUGAGAAGUGUCUCGCUCUGUCGACUAGGCUGGAGUGCAGUGGCAGCAUGAUCUCAGCUCACUGCAGACUUGUCCUCCCAGGCUCAGGUGAUCCUCCCACAUCAGCCUCCUGAGUUACUGGGACUACGGACGGGCACCACCAUGCACGGCUUACCACUGGUCUUUAUACUAUGCCCUGGAUGCCUCUGGCUUCUGCAGACAUGAUAUUGAGCUGAGGGACAAAGUUUUGGGGAUCCUCAUGCUUACUUGAUCCAGAACUGCUGUCCUUUUAUCUGCUUUACAUACUGGAAUUUUACAGAUUUUGUUAGCAUUUUUGGAAAUUAUUCUCUUUGCCCAAAUAAGU